Molecule: transfer RNA, 73 nt
Filed under: Paramuricea clavata
Lineage: Eukaryota; Metazoa; Cnidaria; Anthozoa; Malacalcyonacea; Plexauridae
Rfam family: tRNA
About the family: Transfer RNA (tRNA) molecules are approximately 80 nucleotides in length. Their secondary structure includes four short double-helical elements and three loops (D, anti-codon, and T loops).
Source: Rfam by way of RNAcentral
ACCCGGUUAGCUCAGUUGGUAGAGCAUCAGACUUUUAAUCUGAGGGCCAUGGGUUCGAGUCCCAUAUCGGGCU